Homo sapiens (human) is the source of this 250-nucleotide long non-coding RNA. RefSeq lists it as uncharacterized. The transcript has 3 exons. The record is from RefSeq and is a predicted model, not a curated record. NCBI's taxonomy places the organism in Eukaryota, Metazoa, Chordata, Mammalia, Primates, Hominidae.
CCACCACCAGAUUGAGUCAGACCUGAGAAUCUGCACUUUUAACAAGUUCCAGAUCAUGCUGUCGCUGACAAGGGAUCACUCUUUGUGAACCACUGACCUCAACUAGUUAUGGAACAGGAUUAACAUUCAUGAAGCAAAGGGAAGAGGAAUCAAGUGCAUCCAAGCAUAUAUCUGAAUUGGAAAGUGAAUUGAAAUAAGAUAGAGAGAAGAAAGAUGAAAGGCAUGGAAGGGGAAUGAGGAAGAAACAAGG